ACUCCUACGGGAGGCAGCAGUGGGGAAUAUUGCACAAUGGGCGCAAGCCUGAUGCAGCCAUGCCGCGUGUGUGAAGAAGGCCUUCGGGUUGUAAAGCACUUUCAGUUGUGAGGAAAGGUUAGUCGCUAAUAUCGGCUAGCUGUGACGUUAGCAACAGAAGAAGCACCGGCUAACUCCGUGCCAGCAGCCGCGGUAAUACGGAGGGUGCGAGCGUUAAUCGGAAUUACUGGGCGUAAAGCGCGUGUAGGUGGCUUGUUAAGCCAGAUGUGAAAGCCCCGGCUCAACCUGGGAACUGCAUUUGGACUGGCAGGCUAGAGUUUUGUAGAGGUUGGUAGAAAUUUUCGAGGUGUAGCGGUGAAAUGCAGUAGAGAUCUGAAGGAAUACCGGUGGCGAAGGCGACCACCUGGCCAAUAACUGACACUAGAGACGCGAAGGCGUGGGGUAGCAAACGGGAUUGAGAAUACCCUGGUAGGAUAGCGU
RNAcentral lists this ribosomal RNA (480 nucleotides) under uncultured bacterium. Its description in RNAcentral is "bacterial SSU rRNA". It matches the Rfam family "Bacterial small subunit ribosomal RNA", at positions 335 to 800 of the family's 1533-position model. The record is from RNAcentral.